Molecule: transfer RNA, 74 nt
Filed under: Corynebacterium sp. SY003
Lineage: Bacteria; Bacillati; Actinomycetota; Actinomycetes; Mycobacteriales; Corynebacteriaceae
Also listed under: 2 other names
Description: tRNA-Met
Rfam family: tRNA
About the family: Transfer RNA (tRNA) molecules are approximately 80 nucleotides in length. Their secondary structure includes four short double-helical elements and three loops (D, anti-codon, and T loops).
Source: RNAcentral
GGGGCUAUAGCUCAGUCGGUUAGAGCUGCGGACUCAUAAUCCGUCGGUCCCCGGUUCGAGCCCGGGUGGCCCCA